This 208-nucleotide long non-coding RNA is filed under the name Mytilus galloprovincialis (Mediterranean mussel). Lineage: Eukaryota; Metazoa; Mollusca; Bivalvia; Mytilida; Mytilidae. The record is from RNAcentral.
CGGCUAGGAUGAAAUUUGAAAAAAAUAGGCAGGACAGGAGUUUUGAGUAAAAAAAAAAGAAGGCAGGAUGAGACAAUUGCCAAAAAAAAGUCAGGAUAAACUAAAAAAAAAAAGCAGGACCAAACAGAGUGAAAAAUAAAAAGGCAGGACAGAGAUUACAGCUAAAAAAAAAUGCAGGACAAAAUUUUUCAUCCUAGCCCCCCCCCCC